This 242-nucleotide ribosomal RNA is filed under the name uncultured bacterium. RNAcentral's name for it is "partial 16S ribosomal RNA". It matches the Rfam family "Bacterial small subunit ribosomal RNA", at positions 93 to 334 of the family's 1533-position model. The record is from RNAcentral.
GACCGGCGCACGGGUGAGUAACACGUAUGCAACCUGCCUGCAACAGGGGGAUAGCCCGGAGAAAUCCGGAUUAAUACCGCAUAAAACAGGGAUUCCGCAUGGAAAUAUUUGUUAAAGAUUUAUCGGUUGUAGAUGGGCAUGCGUUCCAUUAGGUAGUUGGUAAGGUAACGGCUUACCAAGCCAUCGAUGGAUAGGGGAACUGAGAGGUUUAUCCCCCACACUGGUACUGAGACACGGACCAG